Phoenix dactylifera (date palm) is the source of this 958-nucleotide non-coding RNA. The record is from RefSeq and is a predicted model, not a curated record. NCBI's taxonomy places the organism in Eukaryota, Viridiplantae, Streptophyta, Magnoliopsida, Arecales, Arecaceae.
CAUCUUCUGUAUAAGCUUAAGUGAUUUAAGAAGGGGUUUGGCUCCUCAGGGACAUCAUUCUUUGAACUUUGAAGAUUAUCCUGAUGAGAAACUGUUCUGUGAGAGUUGAUAUCCUUCAAGGUAGAUCAAUUCCUGUGUUGUCUUGCAGAGUCCAUCAACAAUCACCAAAUCCCUUGGUUUUGAAAGUUUUAGUUCAGAAAAUAUGAGGUAAUGGAAAAGGCAGCUAACUUGGCUUUUAAUUGUGCUAGAGCCAUGAGUCCAUUUCUCCGAUGGCGCAAAGGUAACAAGGGUUACAGAAGUUUUAGCAAAUGGGAAUCUCAGGAUUUGUUAUGGAAGACUCCUAGUGACUUCUUUGUUCUUUUCUCCAAUGUAAGAAAUUUUAUAAUUAUUUAUUGAGAUCAACUUUGCAUGAUGAGCCAAAAUAAAGCUUUGAUGUUUAUAAGUUCUAGUGCUCCCUGCUCAGGUUGGCCUAAUCUACGGGAUUGAAAAUUGAGCUUCCUUCUUGUUUGUUAUUGAUAAACUUUCCUUAGGGGUUCCAAGAUCUUGAUGGUGUUGAACUGUUGAUGGAGUUCUCUCAACAGGAUAGUUGCAGCCUAAUAAGUAUACUAGUAAAUACAAGUGUAGCCUUCACUUUAGUGAACCUUCCUCCUGGAUCACGCCUUUGGGCAAAGAUACACACAACAUGCUCGAGAAAAAUAAUGCACGGGAAGAGGGGAGCACCAUUUCUGCGGACAUUUGAAAAAAAAACAAUUUAAAGAGUGUAGAACCGACUAAACUGGAGUUCUUUCACCUAUUAUCCAGUAAAUGUGGUUGAAUUUAAAAGUCUACCCCUUUUUCCCCUCCUUUUAACACGAGGAGGGAAGAGGCAAACCUGCUCCAUCUGGACCUCAGUGUGCGUGUAUGUACACACACAUAUGUAACAUACCAAAGUAUGCUGAACUAGCAUAUGUAGACGUAU